GGUGGCAGAGUGGUUAAGCGCUUGGCUGCUAACCAAAAGGUUGGCGGUUCGAACCCACCAGCCA
Loxodonta africana (African savanna elephant) is the source of this 64-nucleotide non-coding RNA. NCBI's taxonomy places the organism in Eukaryota, Metazoa, Chordata, Mammalia, Proboscidea, Elephantidae. The record is from Rfam.